ACUCCUACGGGAGGCAGCAGUAGGGAAUUUUCGGCAAUGGGCGAAAGCCUGACCGAGCAAUGCCGCGUGAAUGAAGAAAUUCUUCGGAAUGUAAAAUUCUGUGGUGAGGGAAGAAAGGUAUUAGAAGGAAAUGGCUAAUAUUUGACGGUACCUUACUAGAAAGCCCCGGCUAACUAUGUGCCAGCAGCCGCGGUAAUACAUAGGGGGCAAGCGUUAUCCGGAAUUAUUGGGCGUAAAGCGUGCGUAGGCGGCCACUUAAGUCUGUCGUGAAAGCCCACAGCUUAACUGUGGAGGGUCGAUGGAAACUGAGAGGCUUGAAUCUAGGAGAGGUAAGUGGAAUUCCAUGUGUAGCGGUAAAAUGCUUAGAUAUAUGGAGGAACACCAGUGGCGAAGGCGGCUUACUGGUCUAGAAUUGACGCUGAUGCACGAAAGCGUGGGUAGCAAACAGGAUUAGAUACCCUGGUAGUCCACGCCGUAAACGAUGAGCACUAAGUGUCGGACGUAAGUUCGGUGCUGAAGUUAACGCAUUAAGUGCUCCGCCUGGGGAGUACGGUCGCAAGACUGAAACUCAAAGGAAUUGACGGGGACUCGCACAAGCGGUGGAGCAUGUGGUUUAAUUCGACGCAACGCGAAAAACCUUACCAGGCCUUGACAUACCGAUGACGUCUUUAGAGAUAGAGAGUUACCUUCGGGUACAUCGGAUACAGGUGGUGCAUGGUUGUCGUCAGCUCGUGUCGUGAGAUGUUGGGUUAAGUCCCGCAACGAGCGCAACCCUUAUCAUUAGUUGCUAACAGUCAGAUGAGCACUCUAAUGAGACUGCCAGCGAAAAGUUGGAGGAAGGUGGGGAUGACGUCAAAUCAUCAUGCCCCUUAUGGCCUGGGCUACACACGUGCUACAAUGGCUGGUACAAAGAGGAGCAAAGCUGUGAAGUGGAGCAAAUCUCAAAAAGCCAGUCUCAGUUCGGAUUGUAGUCUGCAACUCGACUACAUGAAGUUGGAAUCGCUAGUAAUCGUAAAUCAGCAUGUUACGGUGAAUACGUUCUCGAGUCUUGUACACACCGCCCGUCACACCAUGAGAGUUUGUAAUACCCGAAGCCGGUGGCUUAACCGCAAGGAGAGAGCCGUCUAAGGUAGGACAGAUGAUUGGGGUGAAGUCGUAACAAGGUAUCCCUACGAGAACGUGGGGAUG
RNAcentral lists this ribosomal RNA (1188 nucleotides) under human gut metagenome. RNAcentral's name for it is "bacterial SSU rRNA". It matches the Rfam family "Bacterial small subunit ribosomal RNA", at positions 335 to 1520 of the family's 1533-position model. The record is from RNAcentral.